UAGAAUGUGGUGGGAUGGUGUUCCACCCUCCCAACUACACACACCAGGUGUAGCGACUGAUUGGUGGGCGGGGCAGAUAGCUUUAAAGCUGAGCAGUCCGCUGCGAGGUGCAUGUGCCUUGUUUCCUUGCUGUAUGUUGGCUGCCCAAGUGGCUGGUGUGCUCGAUCCACUCAUCCAAAAUACGUUGCGCAGUUGGCGUUGGCGGCUGCAGUUGGAGGUUGGUGCGGCGAGCGGCUUCCAUCCAGCCCUCGCCUGCUGAUCCGCUCCCUCCCUGGUCGGCUGUGUCACCACAUCUGGGAUUCUUCCAGAGUUGCAGCGCUUGGACGCUCCUGCUGUCUUGUCUUGUCUUGCCGGUUUUGUUUGGGCCGCUCUCGACUGAGCCUGCUGACGCUUGGGCUGGCGGAACGAGCGGGGCACGACUCCUCUGGCCCCCCGUGAAAAGACAUUAGAAGUCGGACAAUGACAAUUUGUCCCAUCGUUUGCAGUGGUUGUGUUCUUUUCUUUGCCGUUUGUUUGUUUAUUAUUUAAAUUACUAAUUUGUUUGCUUUCCUUUGUUUUGAUUUACUAAUUUGUUUUCUUUUGCAUUGCAUGUUUUGUUUGUUCAUUCAUUUUGUUGGGAAUAACUUAAUUUGUCCUUAUUUUGAUGCCUUUUCCUUCUAGGGGCUGAGUAGUGGGCCUGAGGCCAUGUUUUAAAAGAAAACUGUUUUAAUGAAAUUUGUUAAUAAAUCAUUGUAGACUA
Long non-coding RNA from Gambusia affinis (western mosquitofish), 739 nucleotides. RefSeq lists it as uncharacterized. The record is from RefSeq and is a predicted model, not a curated record. The transcript has 3 exons. NCBI's taxonomy places the organism in Eukaryota, Metazoa, Chordata, Actinopteri, Cyprinodontiformes, Poeciliidae.